CCUACGGGUGGCAGCAGUGGGGAAUAUUGCACAAUGGGCGAAACCCUGAUGCAGCAACGCCGCGUGAGUGAAGCAGUAUUUCGGUAUGUAAAGCUCUAUCAGCAGGGAAGAAGAAAUACGGUACCUGACUAAUAAGCCCCGGCUAACUACGUUCCAGCAGCCGCGGUAAUACGUAUGGGGCAAGCGUUAUCCGGAUUUACUUGGUGUAAAUGGAGCGUAGACGGCUGUGUAAGUCUGAAGUGAAAGCCCGUGGCUUAACCGCGGAACCGCUUUGGAAACUGUAUAGCUAGAGUACGGGAGAGGUAGGCGGAAUUCCAAGUGAAGCGGGGAAAUGCGUAGAUAUAAGGAGGAACACCAGUGGCGAAGGCGGCCUGCUGGACAGAAACUGACGUUGAGGCUCGAAAGCGUGGGGAGCAAACAGGAUUAGAUACCCUAGUAGUC
This 441-nucleotide ribosomal RNA is filed under the name uncultured bacterium. RNAcentral describes it as "partial 16S ribosomal RNA". It matches the Rfam family "Bacterial small subunit ribosomal RNA", at positions 338 to 795 of the family's 1533-position model. The record is from RNAcentral.